AUUAUUUUAAUUUUAAAGUAGUUAAAUUUUAAAAAUGUUAAAUUAAAAAAUAUUAAAUUUAAAGAAACAAUAAGUAAAAUUUAUAAAAUAAUUAUUUUGACAAAAAUAUAAUAUGAUGUUUGCGUUGGUAUAAAAACACUCACAACAACUUGUCUAUCUAUUUUAAUUAUUUUAUACAUGAAAAGUUCAUGAAUUGACCCUAAUUCAUAGAAUUUUGGGUGUAUUUAAUAAGAGAAUUUUGUUGUUUUAUGGUUUUUUUUUUUUUGUUUCAAUGCAUGUGGGUUAAGAUCAAAUCUUAUUAUAUGGACCUAUCUGGUCUAUUAAUGGUGAUAUGAGAAUGGUGGGUUAGUAGCUGUGUAAUGGUUAUGGCCCAAAGAGACGUUCAAAAGUAGCUCACAUGCAAUUCUAAUUUAUCAUAGUGCGAGGAAGAAAACAAAGAUAUAUUCUGUUCAUCAUUUAUCUAUGGUUCAAGGCAUAUCUUUCACAACCUACCUGAACUCCUUUAGCUCCUCUUAUUAGAUUAUGCUCUUAUACCUUGUGUGAAUGAGUGAGUUGACUGUGCGGUAAGUGUUUUCUAGGUUUUUUUUUUCUUGCAGAAUUGGUGUGAAUAUUAUCAUAAUGGUGAGUUAUGGACGAAUGUUGGGUUUGGAUAUCGGAAAGCAACGGAGAAGAGCCCCCAAGGAUGAUGUAUUCCCUUUUUUAUUUUUGUCUGUAGUUAUCCCCUCUUGUUGCUACCUCUUUUGCCUUAAGCGUCCUUGCUCUUCUCACUUUUUUUUGUCCUUGUCUCCUCCUAACUCGAGCCAUAUAAAGGGGAAGUUGUAAGCAACCAAUUGUUGCAUCAUCCUGCCAUUCAACUAUCCUUUGCAAGUAAGUGGACACACAACAUGUUUUUUCUUCUCUCAUAUAUACAAAGUGAUGACAGCCAAAACUACUAAUGCAUGGUUGAUACGUUUUAGUUAACCAAAUGAGGAAAAACAUGGGUCUAAGAGAUGAGAAAUCUUGAAUCAU
This 1008-nucleotide long non-coding RNA is filed under the name Vigna radiata. RNAcentral describes it as "long non-coding RNA (VRAD_LNC004776)". Lineage: Eukaryota; Viridiplantae; Streptophyta; Magnoliopsida; Fabales; Fabaceae. The record is from RNAcentral.